Gadus morhua (Atlantic cod) is the source of this 1601-nucleotide long non-coding RNA. NCBI's taxonomy places the organism in Eukaryota, Metazoa, Chordata, Actinopteri, Gadiformes, Gadidae. The record is from Ensembl.
AUUAGUCUAUCAGUAUCUAUCUAUCUAUCUAUCUAUCUAUCUAUCUAUCUAUCUAUCUAUCUCUCUAUCUCUCUAUCUCUCUAUCUCUCUAUCUAUCUAUCUAUCUAUCUAUCUAUCUAUCUAUCUAUCUAUCUAUCUAUCUAUCUAUCUAUCUAUCUCUAUCUAUCUAUCUGUUUCUAUCUAUCUAUCUAUCUAUCUAUCUUUCUCUCUACUGUCGGUCUAUCUGUCCCUCCUUCUGUCUGUCAGUCUGUGUGUCUGUGUGUCUGUCUGUUUGUGUGUCUGUCUGUCUCUCCGUCUCUCCGGUAUCCAUGCAGUCAGGUGAGCAGGAGGUACGGGCCUCCUCGAGCGGACGGUAACCGGAGGGUCUCCGACCGGGCCGCGCUGAUCCUGACGCCAUUGCGUCCCAUUGGAGAAUUCAAGAAAUUAACUUCUGCACGGGGCCGCGGGACGCACGGGGCCGCGGGACGCACGGGGCCGCGGGACGCACUGGCCAUCGAGCAGCGCUCUCAAACGAUCCCCGGCAGAUUUGCGGACAUUUGAACCUCAUCUCGAGCAGACCUACACUACAUCUGAACCUCCUGAAGAACGGUUCACUAGGCCUAUACUCCAUCUGAACCUCCUGAAGAACGGUUCAGUGGGCUGUAGGCCUACACUCCUGGUUUCCGAGUAGGCCGUAGUCCUAUGCCACAACAUUCCUGAAAAAGAAUCACAACUAAAUAUGGUGAGCGAUAAGGAACGAAUGUUUAUUUGUGUUUAUUCGUUUAGUACUGUGACUAACGCCUGUUUCCAAAAGGCCAACUAUGCUGUGGUGAGCGGAGAAGAACGUAACGAGAAGAACUGAACCAUGCUAUGGUGAGCAGAGAAGAACGUGACGAGAAGAACGCAACCCUAUUGCGGUGCAGAGAAGAACGUAACAGACGAGAGGUGAGGAGCUGCUGAUCGUCGCCAGGGCAACAGCGAUAACAGCCCCGAGUUUUUUUUUCAUUUCUUUGUCAGAUUAUUGUCCAGAAUUACUUAUCUUUCUCCCGAGAAGGUCAAAGUCACACAACAACAAGAUGUUCUUCCUUCUCCUUCCCAAAGCGCUGUCCUCUGAGGAGCAUUAGGCUCACAGAGACGGCCUGUACGCCACGAUACUCUGGUGGUGAUCAGAAAUCACUGGUCAACACCACACUAGUGAUCCAUCCCGUCCUAAAGGCUCCUGUCGCUCCUCGAUCACGUCCUGGUUCUGAGCAGGCGAACUGCGACACCCAGCGGCGGAAUGGGCGACCAGCAGGUGAUCAGCGAUCCCCAGCGGCGGAACGGGUGGCCAGCAGGCGAACAACGACACCCAGCGGCGGGACGGGAGACCAGCAGCGGCAGUAGAGUUCGGACCGUCUGAUAAGAAUGAACACUUCCUACAAGUGAGGAAAUCUUCACGAGUUUAAUUAGGCCUACUAGUUGUUUGGAAAAUAUUACUAGCUCGCAGAUUGCUGAUGGGUUAUACAACUAGUGUUUGAAAAUCACAAAUGGAAUAUGCAUAAUCCUAAUAGCCGUGAGAAAGUGUUUAUUCAAAAUCAUUAGAGGUCAUAAGUUCGCUACUUUGGUUCCUGCCCAGGAAGUCA